Molecule: non-coding RNA, 76 nt
Filed under: Penicillium rubens Wisconsin 54-1255
Lineage: Eukaryota; Fungi; Ascomycota; Eurotiomycetes; Eurotiales; Aspergillaceae
Source: RNAcentral
CCCCAGUGAUGAGCUCACACCUUAACGCGGUGCUGGGGUACAGUAAUCCUGGUCUCAGGAUGAAGCGAAGAUGAGC